This 84-nucleotide transfer RNA is filed under the name Paracoccus sp. C2R09. RNAcentral describes it as "tRNA-Leu". It matches the Rfam family "tRNA". From Rfam's summary of the family: Transfer RNA (tRNA) molecules are approximately 80 nucleotides in length. Their secondary structure includes four short double-helical elements and three loops (D, anti-codon, and T loops). Further hydrogen bonds mediate the characteristic L-shaped molecular structure. tRNAs have two regions of fundamental functional importance: the anti-codon, which is responsible for specific mRNA codon recognition, and the 3' end, to which the tRNAs corresponding amino acid is attached (by aminoacyl-tRNA synthetases). tRNAs cope with the degeneracy of the genetic code in two manners: having more than one tRNA (with a specific anti-codon) for a particular amino acid; and 'wobble' base-pairing, i.e. permitting non-standard base-pairing at the 3rd anti-codon position. Lineage: Bacteria; Pseudomonadati; Pseudomonadota; Alphaproteobacteria; Rhodobacterales; Paracoccaceae. RNAcentral also lists the same sequence under 1 other name. The record is from RNAcentral.
GGGGGCGUGGCGGAAUGGUAGACGCGGCGGAUUCAAAAUCCGCUUCAGCAAUGAGUGUCGGUUCGAGUCCGACCGUCCCUACCA